ACACACACACCGCAGCUAUUCAUCCAGCCGAGCUGAAGCUGCAGUUCUCUCCCCAGCUCUGAGCGGAUCAACGAUGUUUUCCUGCAGAGCGGCCUGGCAGAGGUGCGGACCCUUAGCCCGCCGAGCAGCUUACAGGCUGCCGCGGGAUGUUGUGCAGCGACGGCCUAUGUCGUCACUCCCUGGCGGCUCUGGGGAGAACAUACUAUACGCUGCACUGUGCGGUGGAGCCUUUGUCGCUUCUGUGUCAUAUACAUACAUGACCAUGACCGGCGACAAGGAUAGGUACAACAGUAAUGUUGCAGAAAUCAAAGCCAGGCCCAAGACAGAGUGGGAACCUAAACCAUGGCCACCAAAGAGUGCGGAUGAUGAAGAGGGUGGAGAGGAGGAGGAGGAAGAGGAGGCAGCAGAAGAGGCAGCAGAGGAAGAUGCAGUGGCUGUGGCUGCAGAAGGAGAGGCCGAGGUCGGAGAAACGGAGGACGCUCCAGCUGCUGAGAGUGAGGCUGAAACCAUUGUGGAGGAAGUCGCAGAGGUAGUCGCUGAAGCUGCUGAAGUGGUCGCUGAGGUGGCGGAGGAUGUUGCUGAGGCUGCGAAGGAGGUGGAGAGUGUCGCCGAAGAAAUAGCCCAAGUAGCUGAAAGUAUUGAGGAGGCCGCCCAAGCUGUUGCAGAACCCGCCAUCGCUGCCGAGGAGCCAGAAAGAAAUGUGCUGCCGGUAGCUGCCUCUAUUGAAGAGUUACUGACGACGACAGAAGUAAAGGACGAGUUGGUACCUGCAGAAGAAGCUCCUGCACAAGUGGAAGUUAUACCUGCAGAAGAAGCAACUGCACCAGUGGAAGUUGAAUCUGUGCUUGAAGAGGCCCCUGCACAAGUAGAAGUUGCACCCGCAGAAGAAGCGUCUGCACCAACAGAAGAGGCGCCUGCACCAGUUGUUGAGGAGGCCCCUGUACCAGUUGAGGUCAUAGCUCUAGAAGAGACACCUGCACAAGUUGUUGUUGAGGAGGCCCCUGUAUCUGUAGAGGCUGCACCUGUUGUUGAAGAGGCCGAAGCACCAGUUGAGGUCACAGCUCUAGAAGAGACACCUGCACAAGUUGUUGAGGAGGCCCCUGCACCCGUGGAGGCUACACCUGUUGUUGAAGAGGCCGAAGCACCAGUUGAGGUCACAGCUCUAGAAGAGACACCUGCACAAGUUGUUGUUGAGGAGGCCCCUGCACCUGUGGAGGUUGAACCAGUUGUCGAAAUCUCUGCACCAGUAGAUGAACCAGUACAAGAGAUCUUGGCACCACUUAUGGAGGCUCCUGCACUAGUUGUAGAAGAGGCUGGACCAGUAGAGGCUACACCAGUGGCGCAAGAGGCAUCGGCUCCAGUAGAACCUGAAAUUUCCUCAGCUCUAGCUGAAGAACCAGUCACUGCUACAGCUGUAGAAGAGGUUGCAGUAGCCAUCCCUGCAGAAGUAGCCAGUGCUGUAGUGGAGGAAGCAGCGGCAGCCCCUGUUGAGUCCCUGGCAGAAGAGCCUCAGAGAGAGUACAUUGUUGUUGUUCUGGAAGGAACACCAAAUGCAGAGAAGAGGCCUAGGGUGCUCGGAGUGGGGCCAAUGAGUGGUAGAAUCAUCCCAGCGCAAGAUGAUGACGACCUCCCUGCUACGGAGGUAACUUUGUCAGACUGAUCACUUGGGCUCAAUGAGAAUGUUGGGUAGGCGACGUCUUCUUAGGAUGCAAAUGCAGUAGUUCCAAUUAAGUAAACGGCUCCUGAAAGAUUGAACGACUGUCUCGUACAGAAGAUGAGGAUGUGCCUUUCUCCAACAUGUUCCUGUCCUUUUACCCUGAAACCCAAGUACCUGUGCAGUUUUACUGCAAAGACACACAAUAGAAUGUGUUUAGAUCAAUACUUUCUUUAGGGAACUGUCAUCCAACUAUAUUAGCAGUGGUCCACAUAGCCCACUACUGUGACACUCCACACUGACCUUUAUGUCUUGACUCUAUAGUGUCACGAUGAGCCCAGUCAGUGGUAUAAUAGAUCUCUGAUCCAUCAUUCAGUUACCCUUCUUAUUACUUUCUGUUUACAGAUACUGAGCCAUUCAGUCUCCCUUUAUUCUCACUGUUACAGUUUACUCCCUCAAAAAUCACUACAGUGGAAAACCCUAAUACCCACCACUUCACUCUGUUCACCCAAUCACUGGCCCGCCACUUUAGUGUUACCUCUUCAAGUGAGUCACCAGCAAUCUUUACAUGACCCGACCUCAGGACUUCCCUCUGCUUCUUUCAAUGUGAAAAUGAACAGAUGGAAACACUCGUUUUAUCUUUCAUGAUGAAAUGCAAAAAUGUGCAGAGUAGUUGUGUUGUUACCUCAGUUUUCCUCAGUCUUUGAAAUGAUACUUCAGACCUCCUUUUUUCACUGCAUAAAGUGAGUUUGUUCCUUCUUACUUGUAGAUAAUCUGAUGGCUAUACAGUGAAUGUGCAAAUUUACAUGAAGAUUUAGCUCAGCAGCAUUCUUCAGUAAGGAAAAGGCAGGAGAAAGUAUAAUUAUCAAGCUGAUGUGUAAGUUAUUGCUUCUGUCCUUGCUGAAUGUGUUUUUUUGCUGUGGCAGUCUGACUGUGUGGAUGUCAUUUCAAGGCCUGCAGCAAGAGUAAACAGUUAUGACCGAUGUGCUAGUGUGACAUGAAACGUGUGUUUGGGAAGUGUUGCAGUAUGUCUGAAGAAAAGUCUCCGGUGUGAAAUGCUUUGAAAGCUCUGUCCUUGUUCUCUUGUCUUUGAUUUCCUAUUUCACGUGCUCUCAGCUCUUAUAUUGAAUUUCUGGUUUUCUUAGCUUUGCAUCUACAAUGUUAAACUGAUGUGAGAGGAUUGAACAUGAUUGUUUGUGUAAAUUUUAAAAAUGGAAAUGAGUUUCAGAAAGUUCCUCUUUUCUGUCAUUAAUGUUCACAGGCAGGUUUCUGUAGUGAGCUGUGAGUAGAAGCCUUCUACUAAACCUAGGGCAACAACUGUGUCUGUGAGACAUUACUGUUUUUCUUGUUUCACUAAAUAAAAAGGGAUUCAAUAUUU
This is an RNA transcript of Pleuronectes platessa (European plaice), 3032 nucleotides long. It is a transcript of the gene named mitochondria localized glutamic acid rich protein a, with no coding region annotated. The record is from RefSeq and is a predicted model, not a curated record. NCBI's taxonomy places the organism in Eukaryota, Metazoa, Chordata, Actinopteri, Pleuronectiformes, Pleuronectidae. The transcript has 8 exons.